CCUACGGGAGGCAGCAGUGGGGAAUAUUGCACAAUGGGGGAAACCCUGAUGCAGCGACGUCGCGUGAGUGAAGAAGUAUUUCGGUAUGUAAAGCUCUAUCAGCAGGGAAGAAAAUGACGGUACCUGAUUCAGAUGCCCCGGCUAACUACGUGACAGCAGCCGCGGUAAUACGUAGGGGGCAAGCGUUAUCCGGAUUUACUGGGUGUAAAGGGAGCGUAGACGGCAGCACAAGUCUGGAGUGAAAUGCCGGGGCUUAACCCCGGAACUGCUUUGGAAACUGGGUAGCUAGAGUGCAGGAGAGGUAAGUGGAAUUCGUAGUGUAGCGGUGAAAUGCUUAGAUAUUAGGAGGAACACCAGUGGCGAAGGCAGCUUACUGGACUGUAACUGACGUUGAGGCUCGAAAGCGUGGGGAGCAAACAGGAUUAGAUACCCCUGUAGUC
Molecule: ribosomal RNA, 440 nt
Filed under: uncultured bacterium
Lineage: Bacteria
Description: partial 16S ribosomal RNA
Rfam family: Bacterial small subunit ribosomal RNA
Source: RNAcentral